GGGGGCGUAGCUCAACUGGCAGAGCAGCGGACUUUUAAUCCGAAGCGUGCGGGUUCGAGCCCCGCCGCCCCUA
RNAcentral lists this transfer RNA (73 nucleotides) under Acidimicrobiia bacterium. Its description in RNAcentral is "tRNA-Lys". It matches the Rfam family "tRNA". From Rfam's summary of the family: Transfer RNA (tRNA) molecules are approximately 80 nucleotides in length. The record is from RNAcentral. Lineage: Bacteria; Bacillati; Actinomycetota; Acidimicrobiia.